GACGAACGCUGGCGGCGUGCCUAAUACAUGCAAGUAGAACGCUGAAGGAGGAGCUUGCUUCUCUGGAUGAGUUGCGAACGGGUGAGUAACGCGUAGGUAACCUGCCUGGUAGCGGGGGAUAACUAUUGGAAACGAUAGCUAAUACCGCAUAAGAGUAGAUGUUGCAUGACAUUUGCUUAAAAGGUGCAAUUGCAUCACUACCAGAUGGACCUGCGUUGUAUUAGCUAGUUGGUGGGGUAACGGCUUACCAAGGCGACGAUACAUAGCCGACCUGAGAGGGGGAUCGGCCACACUGGGACUGAGACACGGCCCAGACGCCUACGGGAGGCAGCAGUAGGGAAUCGUCGGCAAUGGACGGAAGUCUGACCGAGCAACGCCGCGUGAGUGAAGAAGGUUUUCGGAUCGUAAAGCUCGGUUGUAAGAGAAGAACGAGUGUGAGAGUGGAAAGUUCACACUGUGACGGUAACUGACCAGAAAGGGACGGCUAACUACGUG
RNAcentral lists this ribosomal RNA (495 nucleotides) under uncultured bacterium. RNAcentral's name for it is "partial 16S ribosomal RNA". It matches the Rfam family "Bacterial small subunit ribosomal RNA", at positions 28 to 507 of the family's 1533-position model. The record is from RNAcentral.